AGUUACAUCGAGCAAUUCAACAGAUUGUUAGACAGAAAGGCAUUCUCUCUCAUAAAAUAUUUAGAAAGUGAAACAAAAGAAAAGUUGAAGAUCAAGACAAUUAAAAAAGACCUGGAUCUGGCAUUGGAAGGCAAUU
Long non-coding RNA from Anneissia japonica, 136 nucleotides. RefSeq lists it as uncharacterized. The record is from RefSeq and is a predicted model, not a curated record. Lineage: Eukaryota; Metazoa; Echinodermata; Crinoidea; Comatulida; Comatulidae. The transcript is spliced from 2 exons.